This 389-nucleotide ribosomal RNA is filed under the name Apostichopus japonicus (Japanese sea cucumber). RNAcentral describes it as "partial 16S ribosomal RNA". It matches the Rfam family "Bacterial large subunit ribosomal RNA", at positions 1962 to 2547 of the family's 2925-position model. The record is from RNAcentral. Lineage: Eukaryota; Metazoa; Echinodermata; Holothuroidea; Aspidochirotida; Stichopodidae.
UAAUCACUUGUCUCUUAAAUGGGGACCUGUAUGAAUGGCUUUUCACUCUUUCACUGUCUCUCUUCCCUCCCUCCUAAUCUUCUAAUCACGUGAAGAAGCGUGAACAAAUAAGAAAGACGAGAAGACCCUGUCGAGCUUAAGCUAACCCUGAAAUGUCGUCUACCUUUUUUCUUAGAAAGAUGUAAAUUUCAGAUAAAGUUUUGGUUGGGGCAACCGUGGAGAAAAAGAAUCCUCCAGUUAGUUAGGAAGAAAACCUUUCACCUAAAAAAUUUAGCGACCCAGUUACUCUGGUAAACGGAAAAAGUUACCGCAGGGAUAACAGCGUUAUCUUCUCUAAGAGCCCAUAUUGACGAGAAGGAUUGCGACCUCGAUGUUGGAUUGGGGUAACC